AUAAGUAAUCUAGAGGUGAUUUGAGUCCACAGGAGGCGGUGCAGAGGUUAUAUGCAAAUAACAUGCCAUUUUGUAUCAGGGACUCCAGCCUUGUGGAUUUUGGUGUUUUGGAGGUCCUGGAUCUCAUCCCCCAAGCGUACAAAGGGACAGCUGUACUUGGGACUGGCAUCAGAAAUGGAGGACACACUUGUGGGACUGAGACCUUAGCCUGCAGGAUCGGAUACUGUCUGCAGGGAGAAAGUGUCACCAUGGAACAGGGCUGGAGGAUGUCCAACGCGUGUCUGCUGGAGACUCGCUUGGUGUUUGGGGAAAAUCCCCACACACAUUUUGGUGACCAGAGUGGAAGUUCCCUGCUUCCGGUCCCUGGAUAGCAAAGGCUACGCCUUGGCCAUCGCUGCUGGAAGAGACACGGCUCAGUGUUGAGUGAAUGUCCUGAGUGUUUUCACUCCGGAGAAUGAAAGGUGCCAACCGUCCUGGGAAAGGUGAGAAGUCAGCGUGGACAGCCUGGGGUCAUCGUCACCACGGAGCUACAGGCCAGCGUCCUCUUCAUGUCCUAGGGCUCGUUUUGCCCCUGGUCCUGCAGGAAAGGGUGGCACCAAUUGACCGACUGACCAUCAGGGAGAAAAACCCACCGAUCCUGUGGGGCUGGUCCCUACAAAUAUGUGCACCUGUUUACUGGAAUUUUCACAGAAUGAUCUCUGGGAAUAUCCACAAGGUCACGCUGUUUGCCCUUUGGAAGCAGAGCCAGGGAACCUGGGCUGGGGGGGAAAUGGACAUUCACCUUCAU
This 787-nucleotide long non-coding RNA is filed under the name Piliocolobus tephrosceles (Ugandan red Colobus). RNAcentral describes it as "lncRNA (ENSPTEG00000030497.1)". The record is from RNAcentral. Lineage: Eukaryota; Metazoa; Chordata; Mammalia; Primates; Cercopithecidae.